Molecule: unclassified non-coding RNA, 223 nt
Filed under: Hevea brasiliensis (rubber tree)
Lineage: Eukaryota; Viridiplantae; Streptophyta; Magnoliopsida; Malpighiales; Euphorbiaceae
Source: RNAcentral
UUAUUGAGAACAAAGAAGAAACUUCUAAAAGGUAACCGAUUGGAGUAAAAUUAUCAGGUUCAAAAGGGGUAUAUUGAGUUCAUACGGUUGUGCGUAUGUACAUACCUUUCUUGGUCUUGCCCGCUGGCUUAGGAGACAUUGCGAUGACUGAGAGGCGCCGGUGAGUUAAGGGAAGAGUUAGUAGCGAAAGAAUUGCAGUGAAAGUUUGGGGUUUGAAGACAAG